Molecule: long non-coding RNA, 344 nt
Organism: Fukomys damarensis (Damara mole-rat)
Lineage: Eukaryota; Metazoa; Chordata; Mammalia; Rodentia; Bathyergidae
Exons: 3
Source: RefSeq, a predicted model, not a curated record
CUCAUAUUUUGACCCACGUCCUCUUGAAGGCCAGCUUCUCACAUGCUGUGGACCUACUCUAGGGUGGUUCUCAGGUCAAGGAAAAUAAUUUGGUCUUUCUUCUGAGAGUCAUGCUGAGGGAAGGCUCUCCAGAAAUGGACACAUGAAAUUAGUGAAACAGAAGUUAGGAUUCUAUGAGGCGGAAGAACAGUAGCCCCCAAAUAGUCAGGAAACCCAAAAAAGGAGUCUGCUGAGUCUCCACCCUCGGUCACCAGGUUGGGUCUUUGUCCAAGUUUAACCUGCAAGGCUGAAGCAGGCUCACUGACUCAUUGCAGAAAGAGACACAAGUGAGUAGAAUUUAUCAG